This 1320-nucleotide ribosomal RNA is filed under the name Nippotaenia chaenogobii. RNAcentral describes it as "partial 28S ribosomal RNA". It matches the Rfam family "Eukaryotic large subunit ribosomal RNA", at positions 73 to 801 of the family's 3401-position model. Lineage: Eukaryota; Metazoa; Platyhelminthes; Cestoda; Nippotaeniidea; Nippotaeniidae. The record is from RNAcentral.
GAUUCCCCUAGUAACGGCGAGUGAAGAGGGAAAAGCCCAGCACCGAAGCCUGCGGCAGGUUUGCUGCUAGGCAAUGUGGUGUUUGGGUCGGCCAGCGGGACUGCCACUCCACUCGAAGUCCAGCAUUGAGUAUGGUCACUGGAUUUGGCCCAGAGAGGGUGAGAGGCCCGUACGAGUGGGGGCGCAGACCAGCAAGGCAGUUCACCAGGCCGGCCUCAGAGUCGGGUUGUUUGAGAAUGCAGCCCAAAGUGGGUGGUAAACUCCAUCCAAGGCUAAAUACUAGCACGAGUCCGAUAGCGAACAAGUACCGUGAGGGAAAGUUGAAAAGUACUCUGAAGAGAGAGUAAACAGUACGUGAAACCGCAUGCAGGUAAACGGGUGGCGUCAAGCUGCGAGCCCGGAGGAUUCAGCUGACUAGGAUGUUGUGUACACGCCUGCGGUGUCUAUCAGCCGGAGUAGAUGUGGUAGUCCACUGGAAGAUGGUGGGUCCGGCCGCCACGAGUGGCUGGGAUGUGAUUGCCGGGUGUGAGCCGGAGCACACUACCCGUCUGUUGGGCUGCCUAGUUAGUGCACUUUCUCUGUGGUGAACACCACGACCGGUGGCAUUGCCAGUCUGCUGUAGUCGAGUUGCGUUGUCGCGAUUCUUGCGAUCGUGGUGGCGUGAUCACAGGCAAACUCCGUAGACGGCGUGGGGCACAUUAGUGCUCUUGCGUGUUAUCGUCUGCGGAUUGCAAAGGGGUGAUUGGCGGUUGUUGUGACCAUCGCCAGUUAUCCUGUGGACUACGGUGGUAGGAAUAGCUGUGCAAGGCACUGGAGUUCUCCGCCUCACACACACGCGCAUUUCGGUGUGCAUGUGUGCGUUUCUGGCACGCGCGUCACAGGCGUGCUGCAUGGUUUGCUGCUUCGGGGUUGCCCGCGGUUGGGUGUGAUUGUCGUGUCGCCUGCGAAAAGUGGGCCCGGCAGUGGCCCGCUCUGGGUUGGCCCAUGUGGUGGUGAUCCGGGUGUCAGAGAUGGUGGGUGAAAUAGUCAGUGGUGCUGUGGUAGACGAGCUACCCGACCCGUCUUGAAACACGGACCAAGGAGUUUAACAUGUGUGCAAGUCAAAGGGUCCUACGAAACCCCUAGGCGCAGUGAAAGUGAAGCCCGGAGUUAGUGUCUGGGUGAGGUGAGAUCCCACCGUUACUCGCAUCAGUUUGGGCUAGCACCAGGCAUAAGAGCGGUGGGCGCAUCACCGGCCCGUCCCAUGAUGUGGUCAUCGGAUGUGCUCGAGGCUGCUGCUGGUAACAGCAGUGGUCUAGGGCUGCGUACUGGUGCGUCAUC